Ruditapes philippinarum (Manila clam) is the source of this 1335-nucleotide long non-coding RNA. RefSeq lists it as uncharacterized. NCBI's taxonomy places the organism in Eukaryota, Metazoa, Mollusca, Bivalvia, Venerida, Veneridae. The record is from RefSeq and is a predicted model, not a curated record. The transcript has 2 exons.
CUAUCGGACCUCUGGUAGCACUGUGGGUUACGGCAACAACCGGAAGUUCCGCACAAAAGGUACCAGUACCGAUAUGGGUCCUUGUGUACGGUGGUAUCGGAAUUUCUGUCGGGUUGUGGGUUUUGGGACGACGUGUUAUGAAAACGAUGGGGGAAGAUCUUAGCAGAAUUACACCAUCAAGUGGUUUUUGUAUUGAAGUUGGAAGUGCAUUGACCGUCAUCGUAGCGUCAAAUAUCGGGAUCCCGAUCAGCACGACGCAUUGUAAAGUCGGUUCAGUCGUCAUGGUGGGAAGAGUAAGGUCACGUGAGUCUGUUGAUUGGAAACUCUUUAGGAACAUCAUUUUAGCGUGGUGCGUUACACUUCCGGUUUCCGGCGGAUUAAGUGCGCUCGCGAUGCUGGGUUACAGAGCAAUUUUAAACGCUGUUAGAUGAAAGGAAAUGAGGAAAGUUCAAUCAUCCUGGUGGAAUUCUACUCACAAUCAAGUUAAUAUUUUAUGUCAGCAGUUUUAUUACAAAAGAAAAGCCUGAUAAAACAUUAAAAAUGGUUAUGAAAGUUUGUAGCUGGCAUUAAGUUAGAAUGUUAUCUUUGGUUGUAAAAGUGCAAGGAUAUUUUUAUACAAAGUUAUUGCCAAUAUAUUCCCUGGUAUUAUCACAUAAUACCCUUUUCAAUGUCAUGAUUAUGCGGAAAAUUAUGUCGUAUCGACAUUAUUAAUUUAAUUUACCAAAAUACCACGUGUAAAUUUAUUCAUUUCUUUUAAUAUAAAUGUGUAAUAUUAGAAUUAUGUAAUGUUUGUGGUCAUGUACAACAAAGGGAUUCGAAUACAGAACAGGCUCAAUUAUCAUACACUCGAUAUUGAAAAGACAGUGUCCAAUAUACAAUUCAUAAUGUAUAUUUUCAUGUAUACAUGUAUUUUUUAAUCUAUUCUUUCAUGUCUAUGUCUUUGUAUGUCUAUUUUUAUGUCUAAUUAAAUACAUAUACUCCUAUAUACGUUAUUUUCACACAAAAAAGCCAGUAAAACACAUUUUUAAAGAUAUAUGAGAAAGAUGGACUAAUCCAUUUUGAGAUAUUUAGCGGGGUGGUAAAGGUUUAAAAAAAUCUAACUUACAUAAUGUAAGGUUAUGUUAUACACACUUUAUGAAUCAUAUACAUAUACAUAUACAAUGUACAUUGCUCUUUUACUUACUAUGUUCUUUCUUUACUAUAAUUUUAAAAUAUUAUAAUUAUCAUAUAUCAAAUUAACUAUUUUAGUGUUUUUGUUUUUUACCUAUUAUACAUGUAUUCAGGAAUUUCAAAAAUUAUUUGUAAUAAACUUUAAAAAUAAAGAACUUACAUUGA